This 253-nucleotide ribosomal RNA is filed under the name uncultured bacterium. RNAcentral describes it as "partial 16S ribosomal RNA". It matches the Rfam family "Bacterial small subunit ribosomal RNA", at positions 524 to 776 of the family's 1533-position model. The record is from RNAcentral.
UACGGAGGGUGCAAGCGUUAUCCGGAUUCACUGGGGUUAAAGGGUGCGUAGGAGGGCAGGUAAGUCAGUGGUGAAAUCCUAGGGCUUAACCCUAGAACUGCCGUUGAUACUCUCUGUCUUGAAUACCGUGGAGGUGAGCGGAAUAUGUCAUGUAGCGGUGAAAUGCUUAGAUAUGACAUAGAACACCGAUUGCGAAGGCAGCUCACUACACGAACAUUGACUCUGAGGCACGAAAGCGUGGGGAUCAAACAGG